This 23-nucleotide microRNA is filed under the name Gallus gallus (chicken). Its description in RNAcentral is "gga-miR-1462-3p". The record is from miRBase by way of RNAcentral. Lineage: Eukaryota; Metazoa; Chordata; Aves; Galliformes; Phasianidae.
UAUCUGUCCUUGUGAGCCCCAGA